Molecule: small nucleolar RNA, 119 nt
Filed under: Echinops telfairi (small Madagascar hedgehog)
Lineage: Eukaryota; Metazoa; Chordata; Mammalia; Afrosoricida; Tenrecidae
Description: Small nucleolar RNA SNORA38 (ENSETEG00000025486.1)
Rfam family: Small nucleolar RNA SNORA38
About the family: ACA38 is a member of the H/ACA class of snoRNA that guide the sites of modification of uridines to pseudouridines.
Source: RNAcentral
ACCAACUCCUGGCUCCCUGUCUUUGGACACGUUAAGACUGGAAGGCCAAGACAUGUGGACUUGGAGAAGUCUGGCACCGGCUUGCUCCUCGCAGGCUCAAGCUCCCCCACGCCACAUUG